GAUGAACGUUAGCGGGAGGCUUAAUACAUGCAAGUCGAGCGGUAAGUUUUUAUAGCAAUAUGAAGGCCUAGAGCGGCGCACGGGUGAGUAACGCGUACACGACCUGGCCUAAACUGGGGGAUAGCCUUGGGAAACUGAGAGUAAUCCCGCAUGUGAUUAUGUUACUGAUGGUGAUAUAAUUAAAGCUUCGGCGGUUUAGGAUGGGUGUGCGUCUGAUUAGCUAGUUGGUAGUGUAACGGACUACCAAGGCGAUGAUCAGUAGGGGGCGUGAGAGCGUGACCCCCACCACGG
RNAcentral lists this ribosomal RNA (291 nucleotides) under uncultured bacterium. RNAcentral describes it as "partial 16S ribosomal RNA". It matches the Rfam family "Bacterial small subunit ribosomal RNA", at positions 28 to 316 of the family's 1533-position model. The record is from RNAcentral.